UACGUAGGGUGCGAGCGUUAAUCGGAAUUACUGGGCGUAAAGCGUGCGUAGACGGCUAUCUAAGUCGGGUGUGAAAGCCCCGGGCUCAACCUGGGAAUUGCAUUCGAGACUGAAUAGCUAGGGUGCGGUAGAGGGAAGCGGAAUUUCCGGUGUAGCGGUGAAACGCGUAGAUAUCGGAAGAACACCGGUGGCGAAGGCGGCUCACUGGCUCAUUUCUGACGCUCAGGCGCGACAGCGUGGGGAUCAAACAGG
Molecule: ribosomal RNA, 252 nt
Filed under: uncultured bacterium
Lineage: Bacteria
Description: partial 16S ribosomal RNA
Rfam family: Bacterial small subunit ribosomal RNA
Source: RNAcentral